GGCAUCUAUACGUGUGUGGGGGAAGAGAGUGUCAUUAGGCGCAGAGAGCGUUAGUGGGUUUUGGUUGUCUGAUGGAGACCUCUUGAGGAUCCCCUGCGGCGUCAGCUAUAUGUAAACCCGGUCUCCGGCUCACCUUGUUUGCAGUCGGGCAUUCUUAAGCUCUGAGCAGUGAGCACAGAGGAUCCUGUGGCAUGGGUAACUGUCAGAGGCCCAUCAGGCCGUUGUGCUCACUGAUCCGAUCAUGCGCGUCCCGUUAGAAUUGAGCGUUAUACUAAUCAUUUGGGCAGAAAAAAGAAAAGAAAAACUCGCUCAAUAAUUUCGCCUUACCCAUGCGAACUCCCAGAGAUAAGUCAGAUAACAUUAACAUGGACGGUCCGGUCCACCUGACAAGUUGAGACUCGAUUUUGUCCAACCAAGUUGCAAAAAAAGAAGAAGAG
Molecule: long non-coding RNA, 437 nt
Filed under: Brachypodium distachyon (stiff brome)
Lineage: Eukaryota; Viridiplantae; Streptophyta; Magnoliopsida; Poales; Poaceae
Description: long non-coding RNA (BDIS_LNC002479)
Source: RNAcentral